Non-coding RNA from Canis lupus familiaris (dog), 83 nucleotides. The record is from Rfam. Lineage: Eukaryota; Metazoa; Chordata; Mammalia; Carnivora; Canidae.
GCCUGGGUGGCUCAGUGGUUGAGCAUCUGUCUUCUGCUCAGGUCGUGAUUCCAGGGUCCUGGGAUCAAGUCCCACAUCAGGCU